AAAAGACUUAGUCCUAACCUUACCAUUAGUUCUUACCUGGUAUAUACAUGCAAGUAUCUGCGCCCCAGUGUAAAUGCCCUCUGUCCCUACCUCUAUGGAAGAGGAGCUGGCAUCAGGCACGCCCACGAUGCAGCCCAAGACGCCUUGCUUAGCCACGCCCCCACGGGUACUCAGCAGUAAUUAACAUUAAGCAAUAAGUGUAAGCUUGACUUAGCCAUGGUAACACAGGGUUGGUAAAUCUUGUGCCAGCCACCGCGGUCACACAAGAGACCCAAAUUAAUCGUACGCGGCGUAAAGAGUGGACCCAUGAUUAUCAAAACAAUUAAGGCCAAAACGCGACUAGGCUGUCAUAAGCUUAAGACGCAUUUAAAGCCACCCUAAAAAUGACCUUAAACACAUGAUAAAUUAAACUCCACGAAAGCCAGGGCACAAACUGGGAUUAGAUACCCCACUAUGCCUGGCCCUAAAUCUUGAUGCUUACCCUACCAAAGCAUCCGCCCGAGAACUACGAGCACAAACGCUUAAAACUCUAAGGACUUGGCGGUGCCCCAAACCCACCUAGAGGAGCCUGUCCUAUAAUCGACAACCCACGAUACACCCGACCACUUCUUGCCAAAAACAGCCUACAUACCGCCGUCGUCAGCCCACCUUCACUGAGAGAACAAUAGUGAGCCUAAUCGCCCUCACCCCGCCAACAAGACAGGUCAAGGUAUAGCCUAUGAAGUGGAAGAGAUGGGCUACAUUUUCUACAAUAGAAAACUCCUAUAACGGAAGGGGGUAUGAAACUCACCCCCUAAAGGCGGAUUUAGCAGUAAAGCAGGACAAUAAAGCCCUCUUUAAACCGGCUCUGAGGCACGUACAUACCGCCCGUCACCCUCCUCAUAAGCUCUAAACUCCUAUUAAUAAUAUGCUUACUUGCUAAAGAUGAGGUAAGUCGUAACAAGGUAAGUGUACCGGAAGGUGCACUUAGAACACC
RNAcentral lists this non-coding RNA (976 nucleotides) under Columbina picui (picui ground-dove). RNAcentral's name for it is "12S ribosomal RNA". It matches the Rfam family "Bacterial small subunit ribosomal RNA". Lineage: Eukaryota; Metazoa; Chordata; Aves; Columbiformes; Columbidae. The record is from RNAcentral.